UUAAGCGACUAAGCGUACACGGUGGAUGCCCUGGCAGUCAGAGGCGAUGAAGGACGUGCUAAUCUGCGAAAAGCGUCGGUAAGGUGAUAUGAACCGUUAUAACCGGCGAUGUCCGAAUGGGGAAACCCAGUGCAAUUCGUUGCACUAUCGUUAACUGAAUACAUAGGUUAACGAGGCGAACCGGGGGAACUGAAACAUCUAAGUACCCCGAGGAAAAGAAAUCAACCGAGAUUCCCCCAGUAGCGGCGAGCGAACGGGGAGCAGCCCAGAGUCUGAAUCAGCUUGUGUGUUAGUGGAACGGUCUGGAAAGUCCGACGGUACAGGGUGAUAGUCCCGUACACCAAAAUGCACAGGUUGUGAACUCGAAGAGUAGGGCGGGACACGUGGUAUCCUGUCUGAAUAUGGGGGGACCAUCCUCCAAGGCUAAAUACUCCUGACUGACCGAUAGUGAACCAGUACCGUGAGGGAAAGGCGAAAAGAACCCCGGCGAGGGGAGUGAAAAAGAACCUGAAACCGUGUACGUACAAGCAGUGGGAGCACCUUCGGGUGUGACUGCGUACCUUUUGUAUAAUGGGUCAGCGACUUAUAUUCUGUAGCAAGGUUAACCGUAUAGGGGAGCCGCAGGGAAACCGAGUCUUAACUGGGCGUUAAGUUGCAGGGUAUAGACCCGAAACCCGGUGAUCUAGCCAUGGGCAGGUUGAAGGUUGGGUAACACUAACUGGAGGACCGAACCGACUAAUGUUGAAAAAUUAGCGGAUGACUUGUGGCUGGGGGUGAAAGGCCAAUCAAACCGGGAGAUAGCUGGUUCUCCCCGAAAGCUAUUUAGGUAGCGCCUCGUGAAUUCAUCUUCGGGGGUAGAGCACUGUUUCGGCUAGGGGGUCAUCCCGACUUACCAACCCGAUGCAAACUACGAAUACCGAAGAAUGUUAUCACGGGAGACACACGGCGGGUGCUAACGUCCGUCGUGAAGAGGGAAACAACCCAGACCGCCAGCUAAGGUCCCAAAGUCAUGGUUAAGUGGGAAACGAUGUGGGAAGGCACAGACAGCCAGGAUGUUGGCUUAGAAGCAGCCAUCAUUUAAAGAAAGCGUAAUAGCUCACUGGUCGAGUCGGCCUGCGCGGAAGAUGUAACGGGGCUAAACCAUGCACCGAAGCUGCGGCAGCGACACUAUGUGUUGUUGGGUAGGGGAGCGUUCUGUAAGCCUGCGAAGGUGACCUGUGAGGGUUGCUGGAGGUAUCAGAAGUGCGAAUGCUGACAUAAGUAACGAUAAAGCGGGUGAAAAGCCCGCUCGCCGGAAGACCAAGGGUUCCUGUCCAACGUUAAUCGGGGCAGGGUGAGUCGACCCCUAAGGCGAGGCCGAAAGGCGUAGUCGAUGGGAAACAGGUUAAUAUUCCUGUACUUGGUGUUACUGCGAAGGGGGACGGAGAAGGCUAUGUUAGCCGGGCGACGGUUGUCCCGGUUUAAGCAUGUAGGCUGAUUGUCCAGGCAAAUCCGGAUAAUCAAGGCUGAGGUGUGAUGACGAGGCACUACGGUGCUGAAGUAACAAAUGCCCUGCUUCCAGGAAAAGCCUCUAAGCAUCAGGUAACAUCAAAUCGUACCCCAAACCGACACAGGUGGUCAGGUAGAGAAUACCAAGGCGCUUGAGAGAACUCGGGUGAAGGAACUAGGCAAAAUGGUGCCGUAACUUCGGGAGAAGGCACGCUGGUGUGUAGGUGAAGCCCCUGCGGGUGGAGCUGAGACCAGUCGAAGAUACCAGCUGGCUGCAACUGUUUAUUAAAAACACAGCACUGUGCAAACACGAAAGUGGACGUAUACGGUGUGACGCCUGCCCGGUGCCGGAAGGUUAAUUGAUGGGGUUAUCCGUAAGGAGAAGCUCUUGAUCGAAGCCCCGGUAAACGGCGGCCGUAACUAUAACGGUCCUAAGGUAGCGAAAUUCCUUGUCGGGUAAGUUCCGACCUGCACGAAUGGCGUAAUGAUGGCCAGGCUGUCUCCACCCGAGACUCAGUGAAAUUGAACUCGCUGUGAAGAUGCAGUGUACCCGCGGCAAGACGGAAAGACCCCGUGAACCUUUACUAUAGCUUGACACUGAACAUUGAGCCUUGAUGUGUAGGAUAGGUGGGAGGCUUUGAAGCGUGGACGCCAGUCUGCGUGGAGCCAACCUUGAAAUACCACCCUUUAAUGUUUGAUGUUCUAACGUUGGCCCCUUACCGGGGUUGCGGACAGUGUCUGGUGGGUAGUUUGACUGGGGCGGUCUCCUCCCAAAGCGUAACGGAGGAGCACGAAGGUUAGCUAAUCCUGGUCGGACAUCAGGAGGUUAGUGCAAUGGCAUAAGCUAGCUUGACUGCGAGCGUGACGGCGCGAGCAGGUGCGAAAGCAGGUCAUAGUGAUCCGGUGGUUCUGAAUGGAAGGGCCAUCGCUCAACGGAUAAAAGGUACUCCGGGGAUAACAGGCUGAUACCGCCCAAGAGUUCAUAUCGACGGCGGUGUUUGGCACCUCGAUGUCGGCUCAUCACAUCCUGGGGCUGAAGUAGGUCCCAAGGGUAUGGCUGUUCGCCAUUUAAAGUGGUACGCGAGCUGGGUUUAGAACGUCGUGAGACAGUUCGGUCCCUAUCUGCCGUGGGCGCUGGAGAAUUGAGGGGGGCUGCUCCUAGUACGAGAGGACCGGAGUGGACGCAUCACUGGUGUUCGGGUUGUCAUGCCAAUGGCACUGCCCGGUAGCUAAAUGCGGAAGAGAUAAGUGCUGAAAGCAUCUAAGCACGAAACUUGCCCCGAGAUGAGUUCUCCCUGAGACUUUAAGUCUCCUGAAGGAACGUUAAAGACGAUGACGUUGAUAGGCCGGGUGUGUAAGCGCAGCGAUGCGUUGAGCUAACCGGUACUAAUGAACCGUGAGGCUUAACCUU
This 2899-nucleotide ribosomal RNA is filed under the name Klebsiella pneumoniae. Its description in RNAcentral is "23S ribosomal RNA". It matches the Rfam family "Bacterial large subunit ribosomal RNA". Lineage: Bacteria; Pseudomonadati; Pseudomonadota; Gammaproteobacteria; Enterobacterales; Enterobacteriaceae. The record is from RNAcentral.